This is an RNA transcript of Metopolophium dirhodum (rose-grain aphid), 5472 nucleotides long. It is a transcript of the gene named syntaxin-1A, with no coding region annotated. Lineage: Eukaryota; Metazoa; Arthropoda; Insecta; Hemiptera; Aphididae. The transcript is spliced from 12 exons. The record is from RefSeq and is a predicted model, not a curated record.
CGCUGACAGUGCUGUAGUUAGGAAGUAUGUAUUGAUUUUUAUCUCGUCCCUUUUUCGAGUUUUCCGCACGUUCGGCGUUUAAUAUUAUAAAAGUUAAUUUUUUAUCGUUUUCCUCGGUUAUUUUUUUUUAAUUUUUACUAUAGUGUUAUUUGUACUUGUGUCUGUGUCACCGUUUUUACCAAAUGACGCGUUUAUGAGGCCCAACCGUUUACGGCUAGUCUGUGUAUCUGUUUCGCGUUUCCAUACUGUAAAUAAUGGCUAAAGACAGGCUAGCGGCUUUAAAAGCGGCUCAAAGUGACGAUGAAGAAGGAGGUGCCGAUGAUGUGGCAGUCAAUUUGGAAGGUCGGCAAGAUGGGUCUGGAGCUGGAUUUAUGGAUAAAUUUUUUGAGGAGGUGGAAGGUAUCCGAGGGAUGAUAGAUAAGAUUCAAGCAAAUGUGGAAGAAGUGAAGAAAAAACAUAGUGCAAUUUUAUCUGCUCCUCAGACUGAUGAAAAAGUGAAACAAGAACUGGAAGAUCUUAUGGUGGAUAUAAAAAAAACUGCUAAUAGAGUCCGUGCCAAACUUAAAGAAAUUGAACAGAAUAUAGAAGCGGAAGAGCAAUCGAACAAAUCGUCAGCAGAUUUAAGAAUACGCAAAACACAACAUUCAACAUUGUCACGUAAAUUUGUUGAAGUGAUGACAGAAUAUAACCGUACACAGACAGAUUACAGAGAACGUUGUAAAGGGCGAAUUCAAAGGCAAUUAGAAAUAACGGGAAGAACAACUACUAAUGAUGAACUUGAAGAAAUGUUAGAACAAGGGAACCCGGCUGUGUUCACGCAAGGCAUAAUUAUGGAAACACAACAAGCUAGGCAAACAUUGGCUGACAUUGAAGCCAGGCAUGCUGAUAUUAUUAAACUGGAAAACUCUAUUAGAGAACUUCAUGAUAUGUUCAUGGAUAUGGCAAUGUUGGUAGAAAAUCAGGGUGAACUUAUUGAUAGAAUAGAAUAUCAUGUAUCAUUCACUGUUGAAAAAGUUGCUGAAGGCAAAAAAGAACUGGAUGUUGCUGAAGACUAUCAUAAAGGAGCCCAAAAAAAGAAAAUCAUGAUCCUGAUAUGCUUGACAAUUCUCAUUGUUAUUCUUGGAGGAUUUGUGAUGAGUUUUCUUCCCAAGCCCCUUUAAUACAUCUUCGUGAAAUGAAGCAUCCCUCAAUAAUUGUCAGCUUAAAUUCUCUGCCUGAAAUAAACGUGUAAGAUAUAGGUGCAUCCAGACAAUGGUCACGAUUGCCGGAGGGUAUAUCGCUAACACAGCAUAUCACUCGUGUGGUGUUCCUGACAUUCGAUGCACAUAUGAAAGCGUACCUUUACAUAUAUUUAUGAUCAGUGAUAUUAAUAACAAUGAAAUUAACUUUUGUUUAUUUUGAGCAAUUUUGACGGGUACAUCCGGCAGAGCAGUCACUCAAUACAUACUAGUUCUUCGACAUGUAAAGACUGGAAUAGUGUACGAAAAACAACAUUUUAUUCGUUUAAUUUAUUUAAUUUUUAUUUCCUUUUCCUGCCUCAAAAAAAAAAAAAAAAAAACGAGUAAAAAAAGUCCAUGUGAUUUAUUUAUCAACGCUGUCUGUCCUGUUUUAAAAGUAACUAUAUAAUAAUAUUUAUUGUUUUUUAAAACCUCUUUCUUAAUUAUUAUAGUUAUAUUGUUAUUGAUAAAAUUAUUAGAUUUUUAAAACCAAUUAAUAUAUCUAUAUAUAAUAAUUAUUAACUAUAUAUUAUAAUAUAGACAUUCAUGUGAUAAUUCGUUAAGAUAUUCAAACAAUGUUGGCUUCCUCGUUUUAUCAUUUUAUAAUUUCUGCAGUGCGAUGCGUAGGUGAAUUGGAAAUAAUGUCAAUUUUUAAAUAAAAAAAAAAAUAGUUGUUUUGUUCUACUUAAGUAUUAUUCAUCAGUAUAUGCUUUAGAAGGACUAAUGUAAUGUAUUUACAUUGAUUUUCUUCCGAGAUUAUUAUUUUUUAUAUUAGUUUUAGUAAGUCCCAUAAUAGUUUUAACUAAGUAAAAGUGCCUUGGAGUAUAUAGUCAUCAAAUACCAACAGUAAUUUAGACAUUAAUGCUUAUUAAUAUUUGAAAAUGCGUAUUAUUAUCAAUAUUAAUGUACAUUAUCUAUGUAUUAUUAUUGUUGUAAAUCUAAAUUAACAUUUAUUUAUUUUUUGUUUUUAUUUUUUUCAAUUGUAUUAUGAUUUCAAAUUGAAAAUAUCAUUCUCUUUCACCUUUUUAUUAAAAUGAUGGUAAUAAUAAAUAACAAAACCGUUAGAAAUUUAUAGCCAUUAAAAGUUUCAAAAACGAUUUACAUAAUAUAUGUUUUUCCAACAUAUAUUUUGUAGAUUUAAAUUUACUACUAAAUUUCUAACAUAAAAGUGGAAUUCGCUCAAGAUAUAUUAUUUAUUUCUGAGAAGUUUUUUUAUUUUGAUUAUAUACACAUCUCGUUUGACAACAUUAUGUCUUAAUCAAUUAUUUUUUAUUUAUCCUGUGUAAGAGUGUUACCUAUUUUUAUUUUUAACUACUACUAGUAUUUUCGUAAUUAAUUUUUUUAAAACUAAUUUAACAAUUAUAAUGUAAUUUUAAUGAUAUUUGGUACUAUGCUUUUUUUCUUGAUAUUCUAUGUUUUUUAGUCACAGUAUUCGUAUUUACAGUCUUUUUUUUACAAUGUAAUUUAAAUUAGAAAAAAAUAUAAAUACAUACAAUUUUACUGUAAAUACAUUUAAUUAUACUACAUGUUUUGCCAUAUUGCUGUUAUUGUGUUCUAAUCAAAUUACAAUAUUAAUAAUUAAUAAUUAAUACCAUUUUUAGAAAAAAAUAGAUUAUUUAUUAUACAUUUCAUAAUUAUUGUUCUCUUUAUUUAUUUAUGUUUUUGUUUUAUUUUAUUAUUAUUUGUUAAUGAUGAAAAUGUAAUUUACAUUUUUAAUCAGAAUACACAAUUUUAUAGAUUAGAGGACUAUUUUCGUUUUUUUUUUUAAAUUAUAGAUUAUUAAAUUAUGAAUAUCUAAAAUAUAAAAAUUGUACAGUGAAAAAAUUGUUUCUUGUUAAAUUUGUUGAUCUUUGCCUAUAAUUGUAGUGAAGAUAUUAAUUUUUUUUAAUGUUUAAGUGUUAAUAUUGUAAAAAUAGUGCAAUUUAAGUCUUUUUAAUAAAACAAUUUGUUUUGAUUAGUUAUUAAGAGAGCAUUUUAUUAAAUGAUACAGAAAAUCAUCAAUAAGAUUUUUUUCUUUUUUAAAUUCUUACAGCCUAAGUUAUAAAAUUAGUACGUCAAUUUUGUUUUUAAUUAAUAAGUAACUUUAAUAGGGCCAUGACAAAUAGAUUUUUUUUGCACACUUAGCUUAACAAUAAAAUCAAUUGAACAAUGAAAUUUGAUAUUUGAAAGAAUAAAAUGUUAGUGUUCUAAUCACCAUUAACCCAUUGGGCACUUAAUAUAUUCCAAUGUCAUUUUUCUUUUGUCAAUAUAACUUGUACUUAUCACAUCUAUUUUGUGUACUUUGUUUUGACACAUUGUCAAUCAUAUUUUUAAACAAAAUCAUACUACCUAUUUAAUUGUAGCUGUUUUAGCAACAUUUUAAGAUGUUUUUCUGUUUUACUUGAAGUAUUUAAAUUUUUUGCUAUACAUAUUAUAUUUUUUGUAUGAUCUAUAUAGUUUAAAAGUAAAGUAUUAUAAUUAUUGUAGAUUUUUUUUUCUAAAAAAAAAAAAAAAUGUUGAUAUCUGGUCAUAAAUACAUUUUUUUAUUGACCAUUGUCAGAAGUCAUGAUAUUGUAUCUACUUUUUAAUUUUAUCUGAUAAUAACUCAUUAUAAAGUAAUAUCAAAUUGGUAAUAAACUCGUAAUAAUGUAUUAAUAUAUUUGUCGUUAUUAAUAUAGUUACUUUUUGUUAGAUUAACCAGUGGCAUACCAAUUACUGUUUAAUAUAAAUAAUAUUAUAUUAUAUAUAUACCUAAUAUAAUACAAUAUUUAUAAUAUAAAUAAUAAAUUUUUAUGUUCGGUUAACACAAUUUUUCACAAAUCUGUUUCGUUGAUUUUAGGUUGCCUACUCUAUUCUAUAGAGUCCAUACAAUAUAAUAUUAUAUACACAUACACACCUAUCCUCAAAUGUUCUGUACCCAGUGCUGAUUUAUGGGGUACCUGUAUAGAAUAUACUUACUUCUACUAUUUAUUUAGCUUAAACCUACUCAUUAAAUUCAUGAUUCAUGAUAGGGUCGUAUGCCCAUAUAUACCUAUUAGAAUUUUCAGUAAUGUAAACAAAAUAUCCUAUAAUUAUAUGCAAUCUUUAAUUCUCAGAUCGCACUUAGUAGAUAUUACGUAAUUUUCAAAAUAAUAUUUUGAGAGCCAAAGACCAACUUGCCAACAGAAAUACCCUAUAUUUUAUGUAUUUUUAAUUUUUUUAUUAUUGUAAUAUGUAGUAAUAAUAAAUAAUAAUAUAUUAAUAUGUAUAUUAUGUGGUAGGUAUAGCUAUUGUACUUAUACUCUUAAAUUAAUGUGUGAAUGUUUCAAAUUACAUUUCUUAGUAUCAGAUAAUUCUUUAUGGUCUUAUAAAAGUCAUGUGUAACUUACUAUUUUCAUAUUUUUUUUUUGGAAAAAAUACUACAAGAAACACCCAAAUACUAACCUAUUAAAGCAUAAAUUACAGUAGAAAUUGUUAAGUACUUCAUCAGUUUGUACAUACAAAAUCUUAAUUCCCAGCAGGCCAGCUGAAUUUUCUAUGUUUUUUGUGUAUUGUUUUGUUUAACCUGUCAAUUAAUUAUGUGACCAAACUAUAUGGUCUAAACUAUUAUGGUCCCUUACUGGCUUACUCCCAUUGAUGCGCCAUUAAGCAAUUUCUACUAUACUGUAAUUUGCACAAUAUUUGCUUGUAGAAUAUAUAUCGAUUUGAGGGAAGCGAGUACAUUUUUUUUUUUACUUUGUUAUAAGGUUUUUACCAUUGUCAGUUCCUAGUUAGGAAAAAUAUGUAGCCAUGUAGGUACCUAAUCUAGUUAUAUCCAAGAUUUUUAUCAUGUAAGUACCUAAUGUCCUGAUGUAUAUGUUAGUGCAUACAGUAUUGGGCUAUCAUACUGACAGUUGAAUAUUAGUUUUAGACAUGAUUUAAGAUAUACUUAGUAUAUUAUGUCUUAAUUCAUGGCUUUAGACAAUUUCCCUAUCAUCAUCCAUGUUAUUAGGUGUCUAGGUAGAGAAAAUUUAACUACGAGCGUGAGGGACCUGAUUCUGGAUGAUAAUUCAGCCCGGCAUAGCAACUUGUAAAUAUCUUUUUUUUAUAAACCUACCUACAUAUAAACAAAUGCAUGAUUGGUUGCAUAAUUUUAAAUUAAUAGGUAGGUACCUAUGAAUUGUGUACAAAUAAAUUUUAGUUUUAAGAAUAGUUUUAACAUAAUCCAGAGUCCACGAGGGGACAAUUUUCAUUGCCUUCCAAAAAUGUUUCGUUUUCUUUUUGUUAUUUUAUUUUAUCAAAUAAUUUAUGAAAAUAC